Molecule: ribosomal RNA, 203 nt
Filed under: uncultured bacterium
Lineage: Bacteria
Description: partial 16S ribosomal RNA
Rfam family: Bacterial small subunit ribosomal RNA
Source: RNAcentral
CGCAGGCUGCAACCCGCCCUGCGUGAAGUCGGAAUCGCUAGUAAUCGCGGAUCAGCAUGCCGCGGUGAAUACGUUCCCGGGCCUUGUACACACCGCCCGUCACACCAUGAGAGUCGGGAACACCCGAAGUCCGUAGCCUAACAGCAAUGAGGGCGCGGCCGAAGGUGGGUUCGAUAAUUGGGGUGAAGUCGUAACAAGGUACC